RNAcentral lists this unclassified non-coding RNA (182 nucleotides) under uncultured Dothideomycetes. RNAcentral describes it as "sequence contains ITS2". The record is from RNAcentral. Lineage: Eukaryota; Fungi; Ascomycota; Dothideomycetes.
CACCGCUCAAGCCUUUUAUGGUUUGGUGUUGGGAACUGCGAGGCGCACGCCUCGCAGCCCCGAAAUGCAGUGGCGGCCCCCAGCGCGGCUCCUCCUUAGCGCAGUAGAACCUACCGCUACGCUUCGGGACGCCUGGGUGGCCUGCCGUAAAAACGCAGACCCCAAAAGUCGCACCUUCUACA